RNAcentral lists this ribosomal RNA (409 nucleotides) under uncultured bacterium. Its description in RNAcentral is "bacterial SSU rRNA". It matches the Rfam family "Bacterial small subunit ribosomal RNA", at positions 355 to 776 of the family's 1533-position model. The record is from RNAcentral.
UGGGGAAUAUUGCGCAAUGGGCGAAAGCCUGACGCAGCGACGCCGCGUGAGGGACGACGGCCUUCGGGUUGUAAACCUCUUUCGGCAGGGACGAAGGGAAACUGACGGUACCUGCAGAAGAAGCACCGGCCAACUACGUGCCAGCAGCCGCGGUAACACGUAGGGUGCAAGCGUUGUCCGGAAUUAUUGGGCGUAAAGAGCUCGUAGGCGGUCUGUCACGUCGGCUGUGAAAACCCGGGGCUCAACUCCGGGCCUGCAGUCGAUACGGGCAGACUAGAGUGUGGCAGGGGAGACUGGAAUUCCUGGUGUAGCGGUGAAAUGCGCAGAUAUCAGGAGGAACACCGGUGGCGAAGGCGGGUCUCUGGGCCAUAACUGACGCUGAGGAGCGAAAGCGUGGGGAGCGAACAGG